RNAcentral lists this ribosomal RNA (469 nucleotides) under uncultured bacterium. RNAcentral describes it as "partial 16S ribosomal RNA". It matches the Rfam family "Bacterial small subunit ribosomal RNA", at positions 28 to 507 of the family's 1533-position model. The record is from RNAcentral.
GACGAACGCUGGCGGCGUGCUUAACACAUGCAAGUCGAACGGAAAGGCCCUGCUUGCAGGGUGCUCGAGUGGCGAACGGGUGAGUAACACGUGGGUGAUCUGCCCCUUACUUUGGGAUAAGCCUGGGAAACUGGGUCUAAUACUGGAUAGGACCAUGCUGUAGGCGGUGUGGUGGAAAGAUUAGUUUCGGUAAGGGAUGAGCUCGCGGCCUAUCAGCUUGUUGGUGGGGUAAUGGCCUACCAAGGCGUCGACGGGUAGCCGGCCUGGGAGGGUGGACGGCCACAUUGGGACUGAGAUACGGCCCAGACUCCUACGGGAGGCAGCAGUGGGGAAUAUUGCACAAUGGGGGCAAGCCUGAUGCAGCGACGCCGCGUGGGGGAUGACGGCCUUCGGGUUGUAAACUCCUUUCAGCCAUGACGAAGCCCUUGUGGUGACGGUAGUGGUAGAAGAAGCACCGGCUAACUACGUG